RNAcentral lists this ribosomal RNA (824 nucleotides) under uncultured crenarchaeote. RNAcentral's name for it is "bacterial SSU rRNA". It matches the Rfam family "Archaeal small subunit ribosomal RNA", at positions 52 to 858 of the family's 1478-position model. Lineage: Archaea; Thermoproteati; Thermoproteota. The record is from RNAcentral.
UGCUAGUCMUGCUUCAGCCAAAACGAAGCGCGGCACACAGCUCAGUAACACGUGGCUAAUCUGCCCUUGGGAUAGGAAUACCCCCGGGAAACUGGGGCUAAUUCCCAAUAGGUGAAGAACUCUGGAAUGAGUCUCCACCAGAAAAGAGCUUACGUUAUGCUCGUAAGUUUCGCCCAAGGAUGAGGCCGCGACCGAUCAGGUUGUUGGCGAGGUAAUGGCUCACCAAGCCUUUUACCGGUGCGGGCCGUGGGAGCGGGAGCCCGGAGAUGGGUACUGAGACAAGGACCCAGGCCCUACGGGGCGCAGCAGUCGCGAAAACUUUGCAAUAAGCGCAAGCUUGACAGGGCUAUCCCGAGUGCCAUCCGCUGAGGAAGGCUUUUACCCAGUCUAGAACGCUGGGGGAAUAAGGAGAGGGCAAGUCUGGUGUCAGCCGCCGCGGUAAUACCAGCUCUCCGAGUGGUGUGGAUGUUUAUUGGGCCUAAAGCAUCCGUAGCUGGCUAAGUUAGUCCCUUGUUAAAUCCACCGAAUUAAUCGUUGGAUUGCGGGGGAUACUGCUUGGCUAGGGGACGAGAGAGGCAGACGGUAUUUUCGGGGUAGGGGUGAAAUCCUAUAAUCCCGGGAAGACCACCAGUGGCGAAGGCUGUCUGCUAGAACGCGCCCGACGGUGAGGGAUGAAAGCUGGGGGAGCGAACCGGAUUACAUACCCGGGUAGUCCCAGCUGUAAACGAUGCAGCUAGGUGUUUGGACGGCCACGUGCCGUUCUAGUGCCGCAAGGUAAGCCGUUAGCCUGCCGCCUGGGGAGUACGGCCGCAAGCUGAAACUAA